Molecule: ribosomal RNA, 473 nt
Filed under: uncultured bacterium
Lineage: Bacteria
Description: bacterial SSU rRNA
Rfam family: Bacterial small subunit ribosomal RNA
Source: RNAcentral
GGGCUCACACAAGCGGUGGAGCAUGUGGAUCAAUUCGAAGCAACGCGAAGAACCUUACCUAGGUUUGACAUGCACGGAUGCCGUCGGGGAAACUCGAGCCGGUUGCCUUCGGGUGAAACGUGCACAGGUGCUGCAUGGCUGUCGUCAGCUCGUGCUGUGAAGUGUCGGGUUAAGUCCCUUAACGAGCGAAACCCCUGUCGCUAGUUGCCAUCGGGUCAUGCCGGGAACUCUAGCGAGACUGCCGGCGUUAAGCCGGAGGAAGGCGGGGACGACGUCAAGUCAUCAUGGCCUUUAUGCCUAGGGUGUCACACGUGCUACAAUGGGGUGAACAGAGCGAAGCGAGACCGCGAGGUGGAGCAAAUCGCACAAAACACCCCCCAGUUCAGAUUGGGGUCUGCAAUUCGACCCCAUGAAGUCGGAAUCGCUAGUAAUCGCGCAUCAGCCAUGGCGCGGUGAAUGUGUUCCUGAGCCUU